GGGGAUUGCUAGCUUCCUCCCUGGAAGCAGGAAGGAGAGACGCUAUUCUCUCCUGUGAGAGGGUCAAGGAGACUGAGCACUGGGAGUACAGAAGGAAAGCAGUUAAGGCUGGCUUGGAGCACUGGGUGUGCAGAAGGAAAGCAAUUACGGCUGGCAUGGAGCACUGGGAGUGCAGAAAGGAAAGCAGCAGGUUAGCUGAGAGCACUGGAGUGCAG
Pelobates cultripes (western spadefoot toad) is the source of this 215-nucleotide non-coding RNA. Lineage: Eukaryota; Metazoa; Chordata; Amphibia; Anura; Pelobatidae. The record is from the annotation of a GenBank genome assembly.